This is a long non-coding RNA of Canis lupus familiaris (dog), 1352 nucleotides long. RefSeq lists it as uncharacterized. The transcript is spliced from 4 exons. NCBI's taxonomy places the organism in Eukaryota, Metazoa, Chordata, Mammalia, Carnivora, Canidae. The record is from RefSeq and is a predicted model, not a curated record.
UCUGUCUGGGGGUGGACAUGGUGUUUAGGUCCACACACUGAGAUGAAAAUUCACAAAAGGAGACUGAUCUGUAUUCCCUUUGUCAACCAGACUUGAACUAUUUAUACUGGCGGUGUCUCUCAUACCACUGGAAACUGGAAGGAAAUCUACAGUGUGAACCUCCGGGAGUUUUAAAAAGACAGCAGCCGUUAUUCGGUGGUGAUGGGUUCAGGCUGUCCUUGAGCCUAGUUACAUACAGCCUUAUGCUCUACCCUGGAUCUCAGCUCUGUAGGAUGGCCAUGUUUGACUAAGAAGUCUGACAGAUGAGCACAAAUGUUUUGCAAAUAUCACUGACAACAUAAAAACUAUUGAGGACAAUGCAUUCUAAGGCUACAGUCACACUGGCUGUAUCUCAAGUUUGCCUUGUGAAUACUCUUGCCAUCCUCAACCUGACUACAGGUCACUACCUUUUUAGAAAAAAGCUCACAUCUCCAGAUUCUUGGUUCCCAUUUGUCACCUUUGCUGGGAAAUAUGGGCCAUUAAGUUGAACUUUUCCCUGCAAAGCAAGAAUAUAGCUAUUUGGAAAUCAAAGUGUCAUGUAAAAAAUUCCUGAAUACUUGCCUAAUUUUUAUCAAGAAUACAAAUUUUGUUUUUCUCCUCCCAAUUUUGUUAAUGUUGCAAUGAAGAAUUCAGCUGAAAUACCAUUUCUUUGCAAAAACACCCCACAUCUACCCCUUAGACAACUUGACUUUGUGUAACAUAUGUUUAAGGUAUAAUACAGCAUUUAACCUGCGAUUCAUUGAGAGCCAACUAUGUCUCAGUGACUGUUAUGAGUACUUUACAUAUGUUGUUACACCUCACUUAAUUGUCACCACAGAACUAAGUAUUAUCUUUUUAUACAUGGGGAACCUGAUACCUCAUAAACAGAAAGUUUAUGGGGCAGAUCUGGGUUUCAAACCUAGGUCUCUGUCUCCAGGACUCAAUUUUCUUUCCUGUACUCCAUAUGGUCUUUUCCUGGAGGUGAAAGAAGGGCAUCCUUAAGGAUGUCCAAAUUAAGCUCAUUGGGGGGAAUUUUCUAACGUGUUGUGAUGUUUAAAUUAGGGAGAUAUUUGAAGAUAGGUGCCCUCAUUGGGGCUAUAAAAUAAAAAGCCUUUGGCUUUAUCAAUAGGAAAGUCUCCAAUUUACAAUCUUAUUGUACUGCCCUACCUUCUCCCUACUCUGAAAGUCCUUCCUCUUCUCCUGCUCAAGCAGCAAUCUCAGUCCCCAGGGUAAAGUCCAAAGAAUUUACCAGGCAUAUUUAAGGCCUAAGAGUUGAUAUGAGGGCAGCCCGGGUGGCUCAGCGGUUUAGCACCGCCUUCAGCCCAGGGUGUGAU